RNAcentral lists this ribosomal RNA (433 nucleotides) under uncultured bacterium. Its description in RNAcentral is "partial 16S ribosomal RNA". It matches the Rfam family "Bacterial small subunit ribosomal RNA", at positions 29 to 507 of the family's 1533-position model. The record is from RNAcentral.
AACGAACGCUGGCGGCAUGCCUAACACAUGCAAGUCGAACGAGACCUUCGGGUCUAGUGGCGCACGGGUGCGUAACGCGUGGGAACCUUCCCUUAGGUUCGGAAUAACUCCCCUAAAGGGGUGCUAAUACCGGAUAAUGUCUUCGGACCAAAGAUUUAUCGCCUUUGGAUGGGCCCGCGUUGGAUUAGCUAGUUGGUAGGGUAAAAGCCUACCAAGGCGACGAUCCAUAGCUGGUAUGAGAGGAUGAUCAGCCACACUGGGACUGAGAAACGGCCCAGACUCCUACGGAAGGGAGCAGUGGGGAAUAUUGGAAAAUGGGCGAAAGCCUGAUCCAGCAAUGCCGCGUGAGUGAUGAAGGCCUUAGGGUUGUAAAGCUCUUUUACCCGGGAUGAUAAUGACAGUACCGGGAGAAUAAGCUCCGGCUAACUCCGUG